CGAAAAUUUCAGUAUUGAAAGAGAGAUGGGACAUAGUUCAAUGGAAGACCUGAUAUUCACGCGAUCUUGUCAUAUUUUUUCACCAGAAACAUCAGCACUCAAGAUAACCUUAACUUGACGUUGAUUCCAACAGUUAGACCUUUCUUUGAUAUAUAUUCUCUAUUCCUAAUUGCUGUUUUUCGGAAAAUACUGGAAAGAUUCAACACAAAAGAUAACAUGUUAGAAUUAAACCUUGGAACUCUUGUUAUCUCAGCAGAGCAACAUAUAACUAAAAAAGGGAGCGAAGCAACUAAAGAUAUAUCACCUCAGGAAAACCAUUUCGAUAUUGCAACCUGGAACACGCGAUUAAUAAGUCCCUCAAUGAACUUUGUCACAACAUCUGCAAAUUAUUACACUUCAGUAUGUAUAGAGAAUAGAUAUUAUUCUUUCAAUAGAUAACAUAAGACCUGUAGGACCUAUUAUAUAAGCAUGACAGAACCAUAUAUCAUACACACAAAUGUACAUAAAACAAAAUCGUUUUCACUCCUCAAUACGAAAAAACUAAGAAAAAAUAAAAGCGAAUAAAAGAGCAAUAUUUAUCGGCCUCCGAAGUACUGAACAAACGAACGUAUAACAGACAUUAACAAAGAGCAAAAAGUUUAAAUAAAUAAGAUGAAACAAAAUAAAUUAACAAAAAAAAAAUUAGUAAUAGACAUUCGCAAAGAAAAAGCUCGAAAAAGACAAAACUUUACAAAAACAAAUAAAGUAAUAGUAAUGAAUAUGCAACUGAGAAAUCAAGAAAAGAUGUAUUAUUUCUUGCUUAUCUUUGAUUGUGUAGGAAGCACAAAAUGAAUGUUUUUUAAACUUUCUGAACACAACGUUAAUCCUACGCCAAUAAUUUAAUAUUAUUGAAGUAAAAAAAAAUCUUCACCUUCUGAAUAUGCCUCUCAUAAGAAAUUGAAUAUCGGGAAAGUCGGUACAGAAAUAAAAAUGAAUUGGACUAUAAAUUUUAAUAACCAAAGCAGAUAGAUUUAUAUAUAGUAAAUUGCAGUUCUCCCACGAACGCCAAUUAAAGAUUAGAUUGCAUUCACUUGAAUAGACGGAGCAUCCAAAAGAUUGAGGGAGUUCUUCUCCCUCAUGCCUUACUUUCAAAUCCCAAAAAUAUCCGAUGGAAAUUAUAAGUCAGAUAUGAUAAGGAUGGAGAAUCCGACAGAUUGAGCGAAAAAUGAGCUAAGAUUUAGCUGAAAAUUCAUUUUUCAAACCCAUAAUGAGAAGUCCACCAUUGUUCUUGUGUUUAGCUAGUAGAACCGAAAAGUAGGUAAGAAAAGAAGAACAGAGACGGUGGUUGAAAAGCUCAAUAACAUGUAAGCACCUUUAUGGCUGAGAGAAAUGAUUCUUCUACCCUUGGUCGAUCAUUUACCCUUUUCUACGUAAUAAUAUAAUAUAACCAGAUGGGUAUAGCCCGUGCUAGCAUGGGCCCAACAUUUACACUUUGAAGUGAUUAGUUUUUUGCUAUUUGGAAUAUUAUCAGGAUAUAAAAUAUGUGAAUACUGCAAUUGAAGAAAAUGCAAUUGAAUGCAAGCACUAAUUUUAGCAUUUUAAGCUUUGAUAUUACAAAUGAUUAGAUCCUAUUAUUAGCUGAGUAUAUCGACUCCCGUAUUGAUCUUCCUGUAAUAAGUUAAUCGCAGGGAUGAAAUAAAACAAAAUGUAACAGCUAAAAAUAUACACACGUCUUAGGAAAUUAUUCCUUCUUAUCACAACAAAAGCUGGCAUAAUAAAAUAAAUGAUUAGAUACUUAGGCAUUUGUCAAGUCUAAUAUAGCUCGCUUUAGUUGAGUAACCUGAAUACAUCUGCGUAAUCUUAGCAUCUAUAGGAUCUCUAUGGAAUAUUUUCUACAUAGAAAAGUCGAUCAAAGUCUUAAUCCAAGCAAAGUUUCUGUAAAACAACUUUGCUUUUUUCACUAGUAUACCUUGUCUUCUAAAUAUAUUCCAGAUACACAAAAUGAAGUAUUACAAAAAUACCUUUAGUAACACAAUGUUGAAUGACAUAUCGCACCUUUUUGCAUUGGUUAGUAAACAGGACACUGAGGAUCGCGUGAUAGGAAAGAAAUUCAGUAAGAAUUACAAAUAAAAUGGCAGCCAAACUUAAUUUGACCAAUCCAUGUAUAAAUAAGAACUGUUCAAAGUUCUUCACUAUACACAAUGUCCUGAAAUCUCUGUAAUGGUACAAGGUACUUGAUGAAAGACUGUAUGAGAUGAAGAAAAAGAAGGUAUACGAAGCUUACCAUGAUACUUUUACUGGAAAUUGUCCAUUUAUCAUGAACAGUCCUUCUCUCUGAGUCAGGAUCAUUAACCUUACCUACCACAGUAAGUGCAAUAAGAUAAAUCUCCAGAUAAAAUACAUCAUAGUCUAAAGUAUUCCACUAAAUAACAAAACAUUGACGUACCUUCUUGGUCAUCUCAGAAAGCAGAUAAUCAAAGCAAGACUUGUAAUAUCUCAGAGCCUUGAAUAGCAAAGUCCACAUGUUGUUAGGCUACACAUUUAAGUCUUAAAUUCACAGGUUUCUGUUCAACCCACUGUCGAUCUGAUCUGAAUAAACAUACAAAAAAUAUUGUCACCCCUCAAUUAUGCUGAAAUAGUUUACAUAAUAAAGAAAAACAAGCACAAUUGCCUCUUAUUACUGAGAAUGCUUAUGCUUCAUGGAUAUCUUUAUAUUUGUAAGUAGUUUUAUCCAGCGCAAGAAAACCUCUAGUGAUAUCCUGGAAGUUGUUUUUUAUUUUGAAUUAUUUGUGAUUUUGUUUUGGUGGCUUUUUUCCUAUUCUUCCUUUGUUUGUUCUUUAAAAAUUCAUCCUCCUACUUAAGAUAUUGCAAGCAAAAAAAAAAUUCUCAGUUUCUUUUUGCCCCCAAAUACGCAGUAAAGGUGAAAAUCAAUAAUCAAGUGUUUUAAAAGUAAUGAAUAAUAGAAUAGAUGAAACUCACAAGUCAUAACUUCUAAAACACCUUAAAAGAAAAGGAAUUAGCAAGAUUUCUAUCUCCAUUUUAACAUUAAACUUUAGAAUUUAAGACUUCUUUAGAUCUGAACAAUAACAAAAAGAAAACACCCAUUAAGUUUUUUAACAAUAAACUUAAACUUAUGGAUACAUCAUGGUUAAUACACAUAUAAUAUCCAAGAAAAUAAUCAUUUGGUGCAUGCAACCAAGCAUAGUCAUUAGCAACUUCAUUCGCUUAUUCAAUACUCUAUUUUACAAGUCAAACAGAAAUAGCAAUUCUUUUCCUCUUUCAUUUGGAUACAAAGUUAGACUUUGACAACUUCUAGUACUAUAUGAACGACUCCACAAUUCUACUACAUGUCGUCACACACAGCUAAACACAUAGUAAAAUUGUAUACGAUCGAGCACAGAAACCUAUGAUCUUGCAUGUGACAACUAAAAUCAGAAACCAGAUAAACAUUGCGCUCUUAAAAACUGAAUCUUCCACUACCCGAGCUCCAACAAUACUUUUCCUUCACGAAAUCAAUCCACAUAAACUUUCAUUAUUUAUACUGAAAAAAAAGAGAGGAAUUUUCACUUUUUUUUUUACUAUGGUAACAAUAAUAAAGAGGAAUUUACACUCUUUAAGAAUUGAAUUCCCCCCAAUAUUUGAGCUGCCAAAUUAUUUAACCUAAGUGGAGCCACAUAGAAUUAUAAGAAAAAAUACUCAUAAAAUAAAAUAAAAUAGGAUUGAACUCAUACUGAGAAUUUUUUCGAGAACGACAUCUUUUCCAACACUUUGAGCUACCGGAAAAUAAUCUCAUUUUACAUAAAUGAACCAUAUAAAAUAAUAACAACAAAUAGUUACCAAAAAUAUAAAAUAAUAAUAACCGAAACAAUGAAAUGAACAAAGAAGAAGAAAAAAAGGCAAUCUUACCGGCUAUACGGGUGAAUCUAGCCGAAGGAAGGACACAUAAUCUGGAGAAUAAAUCUGCAGCUAUUAAAAAAAGGAUUGCAGUUAUGUGAGGAUGACAAUUGAAAAACCUUCACAUCAGUAGUGAAAUUGGGGAGAGAAUUAGAUAGAAUAGUGAGGACAUCAGACAUAAAUUUCAGUUGUGAAAUUCGGGAGUCAGGAAGAAAUUUGGGCAAAAAUGAGAUAAAAGCUAACCUCAAAUGUGUAGAGAUUUCAAAAAGCCAUUCUUUAAAAGAACUGAUUG
This 4165-nucleotide long non-coding RNA is filed under the name Nicotiana tabacum (common tobacco). RNAcentral's name for it is "long non-coding RNA (NTAB_LNC006173)". Lineage: Eukaryota; Viridiplantae; Streptophyta; Magnoliopsida; Solanales; Solanaceae. The record is from RNAcentral.